UCACAUAAACAUUACAUCAACUAUAAUCAAUCAGCAUAAAUGUCUACCUCCACGGAAUUAUCUAACAAAGCUAUUGAAUCAGACGAUAAUGUCGUAGAACUUUCCAUGAUCUGAUGGACAAUCGGUGGAGAUUGAAGAGGCUGAGGAGGUACUUCUAGCGCUUCAACUUCGCCUUCAAGCAUUUGUACUACUUUACUCAUUGAAGGGCGUUGUAUCGGAUUUGUUUGUAUGCACCAUAACGCAACCAAACUCAGCUUUCUAGCCAUCUUCUUUUCAUCAUCAUUCGCUUCUUCAUCUACCACAAUCUCUUUCCCCUUGUUGAACUUAUCGUAAAUAUUAUAAGGAAAAUAUUGGCUGGAAUUCUCUUCAUUUGCAACUUCAUUUCUAUUCAAGUCCAACAUUCCCAUUAGCAGCAUUCCGAAGCUGUAAACAUCAGCUUUAUACGAGAUUGCUCCAAUGCUUCUGCUGAUCAACUCUGGAGCAACAUAUCCAAUCGUUCCACGAGCAGCUGUGAGAGUCACAAUGCUCUUAUCUGUUGGAUAUAGUUUCGCAAGCCCAAAGUCAGAAAUCUUUGGAAUGAAAUUCUCAUCCAAGAGAAUGUUGUGUGGUUUGAUGUCAAAAUGCAAUAUUCGUACAUCACAGCCUCGAUGCAAAUACCCGAUUCCUCGAGCCACUCCAAGAAUAAUGUCAUACUUCCUCUGCCAACUUAACAGAGGACUUCCUUCUUGAUCAGUCCUGAUGUACUUAUCAAGUGAUCCAUUGGACAUGAAGUCGUAUACAAGAGCACGCUUUGUUCCCUCAACGCAAUACCCUGCGAGUCCAACCACGUUGACAUGAUGAAUCCUUCCGAUGGUAGCUACUUCAUUCAUGAAAUCUUGCCCAUCAGCUUUAGGCUUGCUCAACAUCUUCACAGCUACAUACCUUCCACUUUGAAGCUUUCCUUUGUACACAGUUCCGUAACCUCCCUCGCCUAAUUUCUCUUUGAAUCCUCUGGUCAUUCUCUUUAUGUGGGAGUAAUUAUAUCUUAUAGGCAUGAAAUUGUUUUGCGUUUGCAAGAAGCGUUCAAUCGUAUCGUACAUUGACAAAUGCCUCCUUUUGAAUUUGUACACCAGAAAUGCAAUUACCAACGGAAGGCCUAUCACAAAUUUCGCUCCCCAAUACACUGCAAGUUUAAGAAGUCAUAACGAACCAUAGAUAUGAGAAAACACUCUAUCAGUGUUAUGUUCAUCUGUGUCCAUCCAAAUAACAUAUAGAUUGCUAAAGGGACAUGUAGGAGCUUACACACGUAAAGCUGACGUAGCGAUAGAAAGAUCUCUAGUUAGGUUAAAGUAAAAAAAUUUAGAAUGAGAGAUCAAUGGAGAUUAAAAGUAUAUAUAGAUAAAAGUUUGAGUCCUCACCGGGAAACAACGGAAGAAACCCUACAAAGACGUGAAAAAAUUAAAAUUUUAGUGAGUGAAAGCGGAGAAUAUAAUUAAAUAAUAAAAGUGUGCUCUAUCUAACAGCUUAAGCUUUUAGAUGAUAUGGUCACAUAUUUCAACGGUGAAUCCAUUGUUUAUCUACAUUUAGAGGAUGGAAAAGAAUGUUUACCACUCGAAGAAUAAGGAAACUCAAAUCCGUAGAGAAUUGCUUGAUGAAUAUUAGAAUAGGAAAUGUUGUUAAUAUUAGGCCAUGAGGUUAAGCCUAUAAACUCCGCUUUGCAUCCAUCACUCACUUGAGAGACUUUCAUUUCUCCAAUCUUUAGGUAAGUGUAUUUGCUUGAUUUGCAGCCGCUAAUUUCCACAAAUGUCGAAUCAUCAACACCAGAUGGACAAUUGAACAUGAAAAUGGGCGUGGCUACUCUAUACCGUGAUGCAUAAUAGUAUCGACAGAAGAAAUUACCGUAUUGUUGAAAGUUAAGCUUAGAAGGUAGGAGAGAGCAUAGAUCAUGUGUUUGUAAAGUCGGAUCUACCAAAUGAAUUGUGUUAUUAGCAUAGUCGAUGCCUUGAACAUGCAACUUCUUGGAGGAUAACCAUAUAACGGUUUGGUUACCUUCACAAGCUAAUUCAAAUCCUGAAAAAACACGACAAUGUUUUGGAUCAGUGUUUAAAUGAAAAGGGUAUUUUAUGCUACGGAUAUCGCCACAGGCAGAAUCAGGACAGUUGAUCUUCCAAGCAUUGGAUGUUUGCAGAAAUAUGAUUUGAAGGAUUAAUGUGAAAUAUCUAAGCUGAGAGUUUCCUUUAGACAUUUGUGUGUUACUCAGGUUCAACUGAGACUUUGCAAUAAUUGUUAUUAUAAUAUAUAUGAGUAAAAAUGCAAUUAUUGAAGCUUUGUAGACUUUUCAUUACUCCAUUGGGUCCCAAGCCAAUGGAAGACUUGUGGUGUUUGGUCAUUGAUUGGGAAGUUGCAAGGGCCAUCAAGAGGAAGACUUUGACGUUUACCAAUUUAUUAGUGAGGGAGAUGGAUAUGCCAAACACAACAUUUACUCAAACAGUGUAUUUGUGUUGAACGGUUGUGACUUUAUAUAUUUACUAGUUUCAGAAACGUGCGUUGCACGUUUAUAUUUUAUAUAAAUUUUGUUUUGUAAAUGACAUAUUUUCUCCAUUUUAAAUUUAUUGGUAUUUACUAAAAAAUCAUUGUUUUUUGAUAAUUAAAAUUCAAGUUUCAUAAUGUUCUUUUUUGGUAUAGACAAGAUAAAGAUAAAUAUUUAGACUCAACAAUUUUAAGAUCCAAUAGGGAUAAAACUAUCACUGCUACAUGAAAUUAGAUCCUUCAUAAUACUCUUCUCUCGAACUAAUUAGAGAGUGAUAUAAUAAUUAUAACUCAUGAGGGUUAUUUAAAAAACAAUUUCACAAAUGAACUGAAAUAAACAUAUUUAUUUUGAUUCCUACUUCACGCGAGUAUUGAAAUAUUAUUAUUAGAUAAAAUGAAAGAAAUUAGCGAAGUCAUAACAUUCUUGCAAUUAACACAACUUCCAAAUCUUCUUCAAAUCAGAAACAUCAAACAUCUUAAUAGAAUAAUACUCAAACGUAACUAACUAAAUAAAAACAAUAGGGAAAAAAAGAGGUAUCAGCUUAAAUCUUGAACAAACAGAUGCACACUUUUCAUUUAUUCAUGCCAAUAACAUUUUUAACUAUAUUUAUCGGCCCUUGUAUGGAACCCUUUAAUUGACACAUUAAAGAUAAAUAAUGAAAGAGAAGAAGAGGACAUGUGGUAUUGAAACUCCAUAAGAAAAUCUCAAUGAAUUUACCAUGCUUAACUAAAGUGACUAUUUAUAAAAUUCUAUAACUAUAGUUGGAAGUUGAAAAGACCUUACAAACAUUGAAUUAAUUUAGUAAGAUGAAAAGUUAUUUUAAAGUAUUGAAAAUGCUGAAAUAAAUGACAAUUGCAAGCAUAUUAAUUCACCUCUUUGUAUACCCAAAUACUUAAUUGAUUUUUAUUAAAAUUUAAAUAUGCCAUGUAUGUGUACAUUAUGGUGUAGUGUUGAAUAUGAUGAUUUUCUUCAUUAAUGAUAGAAUAUUUAAUUAAUAUAUUUAUAAUAAUUUUAUUUAGUGUAGGAUAAAAUGGUAAUUCAACUUUUAACUUUUUUUGUUCCCUCUUAUAAUAAUAUAUGAUUUAGGAAAAAUUAGCAAACUAAUCAAACAACCUAACGUAAUUAGUAAAAACCUUCAUACAUUAUAAAUAUUAGUAAAAAUGUCAAAAUGUCAUUAUUUUAGAAAAGAUUGUGUAUGUUAAUUUGCUUCCUAUUUUAUCUCAUUUUAAUUACAAGUUUUUCAAUUAAUCAUAUCUCUCAUAUGUUUUUUAAAAAUGAAACAUUUCCUCUCUCUCAUUUUUUUAUCUUCGAAUUCUUCUCCAUUUCAAAAUUUUCCUCUCUCUCUUCCUUCUUUUUUUUUUCCAGUAAUUGAAAAAUAUAUUUUAUUAAGAUAUGCGUCUUUAUCCGUUUUUUAAUAUUUGUUUUAUGAUUUUAUUUUUGUUUAAUUUGUUCAAAAUUGUUGUGUAAUUGAAAUCACGUUUUGAGUUUGAUAAACUCUAAAUCACUUUCCAAUGGCAGAAUCUAAGAGGAUUGCUAGAGGUAUCCAACAGUUGGAAUGUAUGCAUCCACUUAUAUUGAUGGGACCAGUUCCUCAUGCACUAAAGUCAGACAGUAAAGAACAAGUGCAGAAACGUAAAGAUUGACAAACAACUUUACGUGGAAACCUUUUUGCUCAAGGGAAGAAAACCACGACUUGUUCUCAAUAGGACUUUUAAAACUGCUUUCACUAAUCGUCAACAAGCAAAAGUAAAAGUCGGUUACAAUAAGAGAUUAGCCUGCUAAUCUAUCUCCCCACUAAGUAAUACUCCUUAUCACUUAGCUGAGUCUGAGUAGAUACAACACUACUCUCUAUACUAAUCCUACCCGAUUAAUAUAGAUUUAGAGUAAGAACCUAAGUUACCCUUAACCUAGCCCUUACAAUGAUUCACCCAAGUUUGAAACGUUUCUUUCACAAUUGAAACGAAUCCUACAAUAUAAGAAAAAUUACAAGCAACCAAAUACAACAAAUACAAAAAGAAUUAAAUGCACUUCGAUCAGUUCCUUUGCUGUUCUUUGAAGCUUGAAAUUUCUCUCUUUGAAUGAAUGAAUGAAUCUUGUUGUUUUUGUUUGAUAUAUACCAUGAAGAGUUAUUACCCAUCAAACAAAAACCUCGUCACUUCUGAUUGGUGGAGUACUCUGUUGCUUCACCAACUUUCUGAUGCGGACAACUUUUACAUUUGUACUACACUUUAACAACUGGACGAGUUUCAUACUCUGCAGAGAACCAGGUCCCUAAACUUGUGAGGAGAUCAUCAAAACAUCUAAGAGCAUAAACACUUAUCAAUUUUCACCUUUUUGAUGAUGACAUACAACCUGCAUAACUCCUUAUGUGAGUGUACAAUCAUUCAUUCAUAUGGCCAUAAAUAGUAAGCAUUAUUCAAUUGGCCAAUGAACUCACUCUAUGGUGUCCUUUUGUUGAGUUGAGCAGAGUUCUUCCUUGGUUAUGACUUUCUCUGUAAGCUUAUGAAUUUUCGGAGAAAAUCCAAAUUUAGUUUGUCAAAUCUUGCGUUUGUGUUAUGUGUUAAGAGAUUAUAUAAAAAUGAACCCAAACUCCUUGGAACCGCCCAUUGGUUGAGAGCCUAUCUCUCUGGAAGGACGUGCACCUACCACAUCAGAGCUGACAACUUUUUCUGACAGCUGUCUUGUCAUUAUUUCACAUACACGAUCUUCCAGGGACCAGGUCCCUUGCAAACUUCUUUAUGGAUUUUUGAAAGGCUUGUUGGUUGACUUCCUUCUUUGAAUAAAUAAAUUUUAUAUGGUGUUUUUCAUGUUGAAAUAUCAACCAUAAAGAGUUAUUAUCCGUUGGACAAACACCCUCGUCCAUUCUGAUUGGUAUAGUACGCUGACGCCUCACCAACCUCUGACACGAUAGCUUUAUAGUUAUACCCCAUUAUAGAUCUGGACAAGAGAACUCAGAUAGGGACCAUGUCCCUUCAUUUGUGAGGAUCAUCAAAACACCUAGAAUAUAACACCAACUUAAUAAAAAAUGUUCUAUUUUUCAAAUAUCACAAUUAUUUACUUAGAACACAAAUGACGACAAUUUUGUAUUUUAAUUUGUUUAUUUUGUAUUUCAAUAUCACUUCGUACAGUGUUGGAUUUGCUAUGUUUAUUUCACAUAAACAUUACAUCAACUAUAAUCAAUCAGCAUAAAUGUCUACCUCAACGGAAUGAUCUAACAAAGCUAUUGAAUCAGACGAUAAUGUCGUAGAACUUUCCAUGAUCUGAUGGACAAUCGGUGGAGAUUGAAGAGGCUGAGGAGGUACUUCUAGCGCUUCAACUUCGCCUUCAAGCAUUUGUACUACUUUACUCAUUGAAGGGCGUAGUAUCGGAUUUGUUUGUAUGCACCAUAACGCAACCAAACUCAGCUUUCUAGCCAUCUUCUUUUCAUCAUCAUUUGCUU
This 5948-nucleotide long non-coding RNA is filed under the name Solanum lycopersicum (tomato). RNAcentral's name for it is "long non-coding RNA (SLYC_LNC000859)". The record is from RNAcentral. Lineage: Eukaryota; Viridiplantae; Streptophyta; Magnoliopsida; Solanales; Solanaceae.